AACGCAUAUUGCACCCUCUGGUAUUCCGGGGGGUAUGCUUGUUUGAGAACCGUUACACCUCUCACAAACUGGACCUGAUUUCGGUCAGGAAAAGCAAGUGGAUUUGGCGCGUUCCCUGUGUGUUUUUUUUUUUUAAAAAAAAUAUAGGGAUGCGCUGAAAUGCAGUGAUCGGAGCUUGCGUGCUUAAAGGGUCUUCUCUUUAACAGUACCGUACUCUUUGAUAACCGACGUGGAUUAAUUGGGUACUCGUCUACCUUUUCUCAGCGUCCUUAAAUCGAGUCGAGAAAUCUGAGAGAAUUCAAAUUCCAAACCUUUUCGCUAUGCCUACAAGGUAACCGCGAGUAUACGGCUCAUACCUAAACAUGCCAGGCGAUCCAACAAAAAACUCUUUUGUGGGGUUGUACACCUGAUACUUUGGUCUCAAAUCAAGCAAGGCGACCCGCUGAACUUAA
This 452-nucleotide unclassified non-coding RNA is filed under the name uncultured fungus. RNAcentral describes it as "sequence contains ITS2". The record is from RNAcentral. Lineage: Eukaryota; Fungi.